UUGUAUCCGUCUUUCAUUGGCUACUUUCUGUUCCUAAAUACCUUCAAAUAAGAUCUCUAGUUUUUGCCAGCAGUACUCUGAACUUGAUAUUAGUAAAAUGGGUGCAAUCUGAUGAGCAGAAUAAUCUUUUAGCACAGUAAAUGUAAGAAAAGUGUGGGAAAAUGGACUUGGACUGUUUUGAGUCCUAUCAUUAGCAUUCCUGCAAGUUGUGUUCCUUUGUGAGUUGUGACUUGUGACUGAUGUUUGUAUAUUGUCUCUCUGGCCACUUGUGCAAGAUAUGUAAUUCGAAUUCCAAAAGCCCGGAGAGUGAAUACUCUGCCUUUUGAAAGAAUCAUGAUGGGCUCCGAGUGCAUGUCAUUGAAAGAGAUUUGACAGAGCCAGACCGAAUCAUUGGGGAACCAUUGCAACCAGGUGGCUACCUGAAAAAAAAAAAAAAGAAAAAAAAAAAAGAAGGUGCAAAUUCCUUCAUGACUGGUCCAUUAUUUGAUCAUGAGAGUCAUCUUUAUCAGCCCAUUUGUCGGCACUUGAUUGUAUUAGUUUCAUAUGAGUUAUAAUACUAUCCUGUGCUUUUGAUAUACUGAUACCUGUGUCUUUUCCUUCUACAUUUUUU
This is a long non-coding RNA of Magnolia sinica, 610 nucleotides long. RefSeq lists it as uncharacterized. The record is from RefSeq and is a predicted model, not a curated record. The transcript has 3 exons. Lineage: Eukaryota; Viridiplantae; Streptophyta; Magnoliopsida; Magnoliales; Magnoliaceae.